CGGAGCAUAACAUAAAUUUUCGAAAAAAACAAAAUUUGCCAAAAAAUUGAAUUAAUUUUAGACAAAAUUGACAGAAUUUGACCCAUUUUUUUUUAUUGCAAACCAAAAUUGCCCGACUGUUCAUCGAAUAUUGCCCGACUGCCCAAAAAACUGGGGGGGCUGCCGCCCCCCCCGCCCCCCCGCCCGGUACGCCUAUGAUAAUGGGCAAAUAUAUGAUUAUGUACAAAUUGCAUGCAUGGUUCAUAAAAUCUCUGUGAUAGACUUGCUCCAACAGAUUCAAAUUCCAUCCUGACAAUACCUAAAUAAUAAUUAUAGAGCUUGCAGUGUUGCACUACCUUUUGCUAAAAUACUGCCAUUGUUUACCAGUAUUUAAUAUGAACUCAAAAGUCAAAACACUUAACACUAUGAAGUAUUUAGAUUUAUAAAUAGUACUUAGUAUUUUAUAAACCUUAAUUGCAUAUAAAAUAGUUUAUAAUUAUCUUACCUUUGUAAUUUUACUGUAAUUAUCUCUUUAGUUUGUAUUUGUUGACUAAUCUGUAUUUUCUUAUUUCAAAAUAAACUGAAUUUCAUAUCAAGAAGCGAAGUUUGUCUGUUUGUGUGCUUAUUUAAAGGCACAGUUCAGCCUUCUGAGUGAUGGUUUUUAUGGCGCAUUACAAGAC
This is a non-coding RNA of Paramuricea clavata, 659 nucleotides long. Lineage: Eukaryota; Metazoa; Cnidaria; Anthozoa; Malacalcyonacea; Plexauridae. The record is from the annotation of a GenBank genome assembly.